RNAcentral lists this ribosomal RNA (590 nucleotides) under uncultured bacterium. Its description in RNAcentral is "bacterial SSU rRNA". It matches the Rfam family "Bacterial small subunit ribosomal RNA", at positions 102 to 694 of the family's 1533-position model. The record is from RNAcentral.
ACGGGUGCGUAACACGUGAGGAACAUGACCUUCGGCGGGGGAUAGCCGGCCCAACGGCCGGGUAAUACCGCGUACGACCAUUUGGGGACAUCCCGGAAUGGUGAAAGCAGCAAUGCGCCGAUGGAGUGCCUCGCGGCCUAUCAGCUAGUUGGUGAGGUAACGGCUCACCAAGGCAACGACGGGUAGCUGGUCUGAGAGGAUGGCCAGCCACAUUGGGACUGAGACACGGCCCAGACUCCUACGGGAGGCAGCAGUGGGGAAUAUUGCGCAAUGGACGAAAGUCUGACGCAGCGACGCCGCGUGUGGGAUGACGGUCUUCGGAUUGUAAACCACUGUCGGGAGGGACGAAUACGCCGCAAGGCGGGUGACGGUACCUCCAAAGGAAGCACCGGCUAACUCCGUGCCAGCAGCCGCGGUAAUACGGAGGGUGCGAGCGUUGUCCGGAAUCACUGGGCGUAAAGGGCGCGUAGGCGGCCUGAUAAGUAGGGGGUGAAAUCCUGCGGCUUAACCGCAGGGCUGCCUUCUAAACUGUCAGGCUUGAGCACAGUAGAGGCAGGUGGAAUUCCCGGUGUAGCGGUGGAAUGCGUAGA